GAGGGUAUAGCUCAGUGGUAGAGCACGUGCUUUGCAUGCACAAGGUCCUGGGUUCAACCCCCAGUACCUCUA
Transfer RNA from Camelus ferus (Wild Bactrian camel), 72 nucleotides. It matches the Rfam family "tRNA". From Rfam's summary of the family: Transfer RNA (tRNA) molecules are approximately 80 nucleotides in length. Their secondary structure includes four short double-helical elements and three loops (D, anti-codon, and T loops). Further hydrogen bonds mediate the characteristic L-shaped molecular structure. tRNAs have two regions of fundamental functional importance: the anti-codon, which is responsible for specific mRNA codon recognition, and the 3' end, to which the tRNAs corresponding amino acid is attached (by aminoacyl-tRNA synthetases). tRNAs cope with the degeneracy of the genetic code in two manners: having more than one tRNA (with a specific anti-codon) for a particular amino acid; and 'wobble' base-pairing, i.e. permitting non-standard base-pairing at the 3rd anti-codon position. NCBI's taxonomy places the organism in Eukaryota, Metazoa, Chordata, Mammalia, Artiodactyla, Camelidae. The record is from Rfam.